Molecule: ribosomal RNA, 429 nt
Filed under: Chloroflexota bacterium
Lineage: Bacteria; Bacillati; Chloroflexota
Description: Chloroflexi bacterium partial 16S ribosomal RNA
Rfam family: Bacterial small subunit ribosomal RNA
Source: RNAcentral
UGGGGAAUAUUGCACAAUGGGCGCAAGCCUGAUGCAGCCAUGCCGCGUGUGUGAAGAAGGCCUUCGGGUUGUAAAGCACUUUCAGCGGGGAGGAAGGCGAUAAGGUCAAUAACCUUGUCGAUUGACGUUACCCGCAGAAGAAGCACCGGCUAACUCCGUGCCAGCAGCCGCGGUAAUACGGAGGGUGCAAGAGUUAAUCGGAAUUACUGGGCGUAAAGCGCACGCAGGCGGUCUGUCAAGUCGGAUGUGAAAUCCCCGGGCUCAACCUUGGAACUGCAUUCGAAACUGGCAGGCUAGAGUCUUGUAGAGGGGGGUAGAAUUCCAGGUGUAUCGGUGAAAUGCGUAGAGAUCUGGAGGAAUACCGGUGUCGAAGUCGGCCCCCUAGACAAAGACUGACGCUCAGGUGCGAAAGCGUGGGGAGCAAACAGG